RNAcentral lists this ribosomal RNA (254 nucleotides) under uncultured bacterium. RNAcentral describes it as "partial 16S ribosomal RNA". It matches the Rfam family "Bacterial small subunit ribosomal RNA", at positions 524 to 776 of the family's 1533-position model. The record is from RNAcentral.
GACGUAGGGCGCAAGCGUUGUCCGGACUUAUUGGGCGUAAAGAGCUCGUAGGCGGCUUGUCGCGUCGACUGUGAAAACCCGUGGCUCAACCAUGUGGUCUGCAGUCGAUACGGGCAGGCUAGAAUUCGGUAGGGGAGACUGGAAUUCCUGGUGUAGCGGUGAAAUGCGCAGAUAUCAGGAGGAACACCGGUGGCGAAGGCGGGUCUCUGGGCCGAUAUUGACGCUGAGGAGCGAAAGCGUGGGGAGCGAACAGG